GGCCCUAUCGUCUAGUGGCCCAGGACGCUGCCCUCUCAAGGCAGAAACACGGGUUCGAGUCCCGUUAGGGCUGCCA
Molecule: transfer RNA, 76 nt
Filed under: Peptococcaceae bacterium
Lineage: Bacteria; Bacillati; Bacillota; Clostridia; Eubacteriales; Peptococcaceae
Description: tRNA-Glu
Rfam family: tRNA
About the family: Transfer RNA (tRNA) molecules are approximately 80 nucleotides in length.
Source: RNAcentral